This 622-nucleotide ribosomal RNA is filed under the name uncultured Glomeromycotina. Its description in RNAcentral is "eukaryotic LSU rRNA". It matches the Rfam family "Eukaryotic large subunit ribosomal RNA", at positions 293 to 766 of the family's 3401-position model. The record is from RNAcentral. Lineage: Eukaryota; Fungi; Glomeromycota.
UGGGAGGUAAAUUUCUCCUAAGGCUAAAUAUUGGCGAGAGACCGAUAGCGAACAAGUACCGUGAGGGAAAGAUGAAAAGAACUUUGAAAAGAGAGUUAAAAAGUACGUGAAAUUGUUGAAAGGGAAACGAUUGAAGUCAGUCGUACCGACGAGAAAUCAGCUUUUCGAAUGUGCAUUUGUGGGCGUAUGAGAGCUUCACGGCCUUGUUGUUUGCAAUAUGUAUGUUUCUUUGGUGUACUUUUUCGUAUGGUAGGUCAAUGUCGGUUUUGAUCGCCAUAAAAUGAUCGGAGGAAUGUAGCUUCGGCCUCGGUUGAAGUGUUAUAGCCUUUGGUAAAUGUGGUGAUUAGGACCGAGGAUUGCAACGAAUACCUUUUAGGCUAUCCGUCUGACCUCUGAAAGUUACUUAGGUGCCGAAAGCUUGCUUACGGCCAUCUAAGUUGACGGUCAAAAGGUUAGAACGUGAUUAUAUUCGUUAAGGACGUUGACGUAAUGGCUUUAAACGACCCGUCUUGAAACACGGGCCAAGGAGUCUAACAUAUAUGCGAGUGUUCGGGUGUUCAAACCCUUACGCGGAAUGAAAGUAAUUCAGGUGGGAUCGCGUCAUUCGUGUGCACCAUCGACC